RNAcentral lists this ribosomal RNA (465 nucleotides) under uncultured bacterium. RNAcentral's name for it is "partial 16S ribosomal RNA". It matches the Rfam family "Bacterial small subunit ribosomal RNA", at positions 28 to 507 of the family's 1533-position model. The record is from RNAcentral.
GACGAACGCUGGCGGCGUGCUUAACACAUGCAAGUCGUACGGUAAGGCCCUUUCGGGGGUACACGAGUGGCGAACGGGUGAGUAACACGUGAGUAACCUGCCCACAACUUUGGGAUAACGCUAGGAAACUGGUGCUAAUACUGGAUAUGUGUUCCUGCUGCAUGGGGGGGGUUGGAAAGCUCCGGCGGUUGUGGAUGGACUCGCGGCCUAUCAGCUUGUUGGUGGGGUAGUGGCCUACCAAGGCGGCGACGGGUAGCCGGCCUGGGAGGGUGACCGGCCACAUUGAGACUGAGAGACGGCCCAGACACCUAAGGGAGGCAGAAGUGGGGAAUAUUGCACAAUGGGCGCAAGCCUGAUGCAGAAACGCCGCGGGCGGGAUGACGGCCUUCGGGUUGUAAACCGCUUUCAGCAGGGACGAAGCUUUUUGUGACGGUACCUGCAGAAGAAGCACCGGCUAACUACGUG